UACGGGGGGGGCAAGCGUUGUUCGGAAUUACUGGGCGUAAAGGGCUCGUAGGUGGCCAAUUAAGUCAGACGUGAAAUCCCCAGGCUCAACCUGGGAACUGCGUCUGAUACUGGUUGGCUUGAAUUCGGGAGAGGGAUGCAGAAUUCCAGGUGUAGCGGUGAAAUGCGUAGAUAUCUGGAGGAAUACCGGUGGCGAAGGCGGCAUCCUGGACCGGCAUUGACGCUGAGGAGCGAAAGCCAGGGGAGCAAACGGG
This 253-nucleotide ribosomal RNA is filed under the name uncultured bacterium. Its description in RNAcentral is "partial 16S ribosomal RNA". It matches the Rfam family "Bacterial small subunit ribosomal RNA", at positions 524 to 776 of the family's 1533-position model. The record is from RNAcentral.